Molecule: long non-coding RNA, 892 nt
Filed under: Phasianus colchicus (ring-necked pheasant)
Lineage: Eukaryota; Metazoa; Chordata; Aves; Galliformes; Phasianidae
Description: lncRNA (ENSPCLG00000019873.1)
Source: RNAcentral
CUGCUAUUAAAAUUUUCCAAAUUAUUGAAGCAAAUUUGAUUUAGUAGUUCAGCAUUCAAGCUCUAUAACUGGUUUGUAGGCAGCUUGACACUUUUAGUCUGACUACAAGGUCCUUGAAACAAUUAGAUUAAAUCUCUUCUGGGAAAGAUUCAGCACGUACAGUCCUCAGUGAAAAGACAGUAGGAAGUGCUGAGCCUCAAGGCUGAUAAUUAACACUUUGAGGGAUUGAUUCUUUACCUUCGAAUAAAGGCUGUCCACAGUGCCAGCAGGGAAGGGGCACAGCAUAGAUGCCAAUGGUUGUUUCCUGCAAAGAAGAGCAACACAGAGCCAAGACAGAAGGCAAUCUCUGCUGCAUGCUGAUCAGAAUGUAAUUGGAGAAGGAUUUCUCGCAGUCCACCUCUGAAAUGAAACACGACACAACCCUUCCAGUUUCGGAUUGCAGGACUGACCAGCAUACAUGCCUUCAUCAUGGAGACAGAUGAAUUCUACCUCCCUCUGGUCCUUCAGUGUUGGCAGACUUUCAUUUUUGGCUCCAGCAUGAGACAUAUGACUGGGAUCAGGAGCCGUCCGAACAUUCAGAACAGAAGUCAUCUCCAUCAGGAACAAAUUAAUUGUGGAAGACACAUUCCCCUCUUGCUGCUCCCUCCUUGUAGGAUGCAUACCACCACUGCAACUUUUUUUUGAGUUCAUAAUGUGCUGCUUUCUGGAUACUGAAAAAGUGUACAGGGCUCCAGUCUUGAUUUCCUUUGCCUGCACAAUCUGGACCUGCCUUAACAGAAUCAGAAUUGGAAUGAAGGCAGUGCUGCAAGCAGCCCUCUGACCGUACUCAGCAUCUUCACAAGCUCCUCUGCUUCUUCACUAUGGAAUAAAAGCUUCCUAUGUUUUGUGGCCA